CUGGCGGGAGCCGUCCCUGGAUGGGGGUCACUAGCCUCCCCAUUGUGACUCGUUUGAGCUCUUAGCCAGGCGUGUAGUCUGGCGGGAGCCGUCGCGGCUGGCUCGGCAGCUCCAGGCUAUUCCGAGGAACAGUCUUCAGAGAGCCUGGGAAGGACAUGUUGCAGAAGAAAUGCAAGUACAGUGAAGAAUAAGACUGGGGAACUUUUACAAUUCAGAGUGGCCUUCACUGUGGGCGGUCCGAAUUGAUCCCUGUAUACAGAGGACAAUGAAUCCAGGCAGUGAUCCACCAAUGAUAACUAACAUCAUAAAAAGAUACAUGGCCGGAUAUGAUGUUCCUUCUGACGGAAGACCACAACACCUGCUGAAAAAUCAAAUCUGAAUCGGAUCAAGCCUCUAGAGGAGGCAGCACCCAGGGUCAUUCCUGGAGCAUAAACGAUCCCUGCAGAACAUGGGCUAGAAGACCCCACAGUGGGGCAGAGGCAGGUCCUGGACUGGGAUCCCAGCAGUGAGAAGACCUGGACAUCAACCCUAUUUCAUUGUGCCUCUGCAAAUCUCCCAACUUUUGGAGCUGUAGCUGCAAGCUCAGACUUGUGGUUUCCUGUACCUGGAGGAGGCCCAGGUCAUUCUGUUAAGUCCCUUGUCUAUUUCCUGCUUUUAUCUGGAUGCUGAGUUAAUUAUUUGAUCCAACAAUAAAACUAACAAGGUUUUAAAAAAAAAAA
This 719-nucleotide long non-coding RNA is filed under the name Homo sapiens (human). Its description in RNAcentral is "long independently transcribed non-coding RNA 642 (LINC00642)". Lineage: Eukaryota; Metazoa; Chordata; Mammalia; Primates; Hominidae. The record is from RNAcentral.